GAUGAACGCUGGCGGCGUGCCUAAUACAUGCAAGUCGAGCGAACGGACGAGAAGCUUGCUUCUCUGAUGUUAGCGGCGGACGGGUGAGUAACACGUGGAUAACCUACCUAUAAGACUGGGAUAACUUCGGGAAACCGGAGCUAAUACCGGAUAAUAUUUUGAACCGCAUGGUUCAAAAGUGAAAGACGGUCUUGCUGUCACUUAUAGAUGGAUCCGCGCUGCAUUAGCUAGUUGGUAAGGUAACGGCUUACCAAGGCAACGAUGCAUAGCCGACCUGAGAGGGUGAUCGGCCACACUGGAACUGAGACACGGUCCAGACUCCUAAGGGAGGCAGCAGUAGGGAAUCUUCCGCAAUGGGCGAAAGCCUGACGGAGCAACGCCGCGUGAGUGAUGAAGGUCUUCGGAGCGUAAAACUCUGUUAUUAGGGAAGAACAUAUGUGUAAGUAACUGUGCACAGCUUGACGGUACCUAAUCAGAAAGCCACGGCUAACUACGUG
RNAcentral lists this ribosomal RNA (497 nucleotides) under uncultured bacterium. RNAcentral describes it as "partial 16S ribosomal RNA". It matches the Rfam family "Bacterial small subunit ribosomal RNA", at positions 28 to 507 of the family's 1533-position model. The record is from RNAcentral.